UUGGCUCUCCCAUCGAUGAAGAACGCAGCGAAAUGCGAUAAGUAAUGUGAAUUGCAGAAUUCAGUGAAUCAUCGAAUCUUUGAACGCACCUUGCGCCCUCUGGGAUUCCGGAGGGCAUGCCUGUUUGAGUGUCAUUAUAUUCUCAACUUCAAUAGUUUCUUUAUUGUUGAAGUAUGGAUGUGGAGGCCUUUGCUGGCAUCACUUAGAUGUUCAGCUCCUCUU
This 222-nucleotide ribosomal RNA is filed under the name Collybiopsis confluens. RNAcentral describes it as "5.8S ribosomal RNA". The stretch from base 1 to 134 matches the Rfam family "5.8S ribosomal RNA", at positions 21 to 154 of the family's 154-position model. From Rfam's summary of the family: 5.8S ribosomal RNA (5.8S rRNA) is a component of the large subunit of the eukaryotic ribosome. The record is from RNAcentral. Lineage: Eukaryota; Fungi; Basidiomycota; Agaricomycetes; Agaricales; Omphalotaceae.